Molecule: ribosomal RNA, 443 nt
Filed under: uncultured bacterium
Lineage: Bacteria
Description: partial 16S ribosomal RNA
Rfam family: Bacterial small subunit ribosomal RNA
Source: RNAcentral
CCUACGGGAGGCAGCAGUGGGGGAUUUUGGACAAUGGGGGGAACCCUGAUCCAGCGACGCCGCGUGAGUGAAGAAGUAUUUCGGUAUGUAACGCUCUGUCAGCAGGGAAGAAAGAAAUGACGGUACCUGACCAAGAAGCCCCGGCUAACUACGUGCCAGCAGCCGCGGUAAUACGUAGGGGGCACGCGUUAUCCGGAAUUACUGGGUGUAAAGGGAGGGUAGACGGUUAAGUAAGUCUGGAGUGAAAGGCCGGGGCCCAACCCCGGGACUGCUCUGGAAACUAUUGAACUUGAGUGCAGGAGGGGUAAGCGGAAUUCCUAGUGUAGCGGUGAAAUGCGUAGAUAUUAGGAGGAACACCAGUGGCGAAGGCGGCUUACUGGACUGUAACUGACGUUGAGGCUCGAAAGCGUGGGGAGCAAACAGGAUUAGAUACCCGAGUAGUC